Molecule: long non-coding RNA, 555 nt
Filed under: Elaeis guineensis (African oil palm)
Lineage: Eukaryota; Viridiplantae; Streptophyta; Magnoliopsida; Arecales; Arecaceae
Description: long non-coding RNA (EGUI_LNC059956)
Source: RNAcentral
AUGUGCCCCUUGAGGAUCUCUCUCCUUUCUCUCUUAUAUCUCUAUCCUAAUCUAUUUUAAAGUUUGAAUUUGAUUCAAACCUUUAAAAUCUGAAUUUGAUUCAAAUUGAAAGGACAAAUGGACAAGGGUAUGGGGUCUAUAAAUAAGGUUAGGAUGAGGGGAUGCCCAAAACUAUUAUUAGAUCCAUCCAUCUUCUCCUCUUGUUGCCACCCAACACCCUCCUCCUUUUUCUUGUUACUGCCCAAGAGGAAGAUCUAUCUUCCUCUCUUCUUCCUUCCUCUCCAAAGGGUUAUUCUUCCUAAUUUCUUGAGAAGACAAGAAGGAGAAUUCAGAUUCAGUUUGAAGGGAGAAAGAUCUAUAAGGGAGCUAGUAUCCUAGUGAUCUUUAGAUUCUUCUGAUGAAGAUCAACCUUGUGUGAAUACCUAUAAAGGUUAGACGUAUGUGCCGCUUCAAAGAACCUCAGAAGACAUCCAUGGAUUUCAAAUCGCAAUGAAAAUCUAUCCGCACAAAGAUAAUGAUCAAAUCUUUAAACAGAUUACAUCUUAAUAUUGUUUA